AUUGAACGCUGGCGGCAUGCUUUACACAUGCAAGUCGAACGGCAGCGCGGGCUUCGGCCUGGCGGCGAGUGGCGAACGGGUGAGUAAUGCACCGGAACGUGCCCAGCAGUGGGGGAUAGCCCGGCGAAAGCCGGAUUAAUACCGCAUACGACCUGAGGGUGAAAGCGGGGGAGCGAAAGGCCUCGCGCUAUUGGAGCGGCCGAUGUCGGAUUAGCUAGCUGGUGGGGUAAAGGCUUACCAAGGCGACGAUCCGUAGCUGGUCUGAGAGGGCGAGCGGCCACACUGGAACUGAGACACGGCCCAGACUCCUACGGGAGGCAGCAGUGGGGAAUGUUGGGCAAUGGGGGCAACCCUGAUCCAGCCAUGCCGCGUGCGGGAAGAAGGCCUUCGGGUUGUAAACCGCUUUUGUUCGGGAAGAACUCCUCUGGGCUGAUACCCCGGGGGGAUGACGGUACCGGAAGAAUAAGCACCGGCUAACUACGUG
RNAcentral lists this ribosomal RNA (484 nucleotides) under uncultured bacterium. RNAcentral's name for it is "partial 16S ribosomal RNA". It matches the Rfam family "Bacterial small subunit ribosomal RNA", at positions 28 to 507 of the family's 1533-position model. The record is from RNAcentral.